Dioscorea cayenensis subsp. rotundata (Guinea yam) is the source of this 1679-nucleotide long non-coding RNA. RefSeq lists it as uncharacterized. NCBI's taxonomy places the organism in Eukaryota, Viridiplantae, Streptophyta, Magnoliopsida, Dioscoreales, Dioscoreaceae. The transcript has 4 exons. The record is from RefSeq and is a predicted model, not a curated record.
UUAGGUUUUAGGACCAAGCCUUUCUUUUAAGACAUACAUCAAUUAGUCUCUUGCAUUCUUAUCUUUAACCUUCCCCAUAUUCCUUUUGUGAUUUUCUGUGCCAUGUUCUUGAUGUCCAUAAUGUCCAGACUCACUAGUACUAACAAAUCUUGCUAUAUUUAUUUUUUUAUUCAGUUUUCAUUCUUUGUUACUGGAUCCCUAUUUUGUAAUUAUCCAGGUCUCUUUAGUUUGCAGUGACCAAAAUUUAUGUCACUAAGCUUCAAUAGGAACUGCAGUUCAUUCUUUUGGUCUCUUCAGUCUACAGAGGUGUCGAGCAAAUUGAGCACCUCGGCUUUGGUUUCCAUAUCAUAUUGCUUCAUGACCUCCGGCUGCCGCAUCUCCGACAAAGGAAUCAGAGCUGACCGAUCAUGGAUCAUCCCAAAAUAAACAAAAAAGUAAACGGAUCAAAUUAAUGUGAGCAAAUUAACUAUAUCGACACGGAGACUAGUCAAAAGGGAAAGACAAGGAGGAUGAUAUAUAUAAUAGAGAAAAAAAAAGGUUAUGACUUACGAGAUAUGGAUUUACCCCAGAGGUUGUGUUUAUUAGCGUCGUGGAGCUUGUCGUGCUUGACAUGGAUGAUGAUGAGGGUCUCACCCUUAUCAAGGAGGUUAUUGAUGGCCCAGGCCAACGCCGUCUUGUUGCUCUCGGAGAAGUCCAGUGCAACACCAAUCUUCCGAUCACCUUUCAUUUUCUCUUUCUUUGUUUCGUUCAACCGUCAACCCCUUAAUUAAGAGACCUGUUUGUAUGAAGCACUAGUCUCCAGGGCUCAACCCUUGAACAGUAAAAUCACGCAACCGUGUUUUCAGGGAAGCAUAAGUGGCUACCUGUGUGUGCUGGCGCACUAACCUCGCUGAUGCCUUUUUUUUGUUGAUGGUGAUCGAGUAUUCAGACAUGGCCGAGCAGUGCUUGCAAGUGUUGGAGAAGAUAUCGAAGAGGCAGCCUGUGGCCUGCUUGCAAGAAGGGGUGGUUAUGCCGGUGCUGAAUUAGGUUGAUUUCUUCUCCACAACUAUUAAAGGGUUGAUUGGGCUUCUCACCAAGCUUACUGCUAACUCAAUGGUAGCAUUCAAGACACUCUUUGAGUUGAAUAUAGGUGGUAUUCUACGUGGAAUUAUUUUGACAAUGUUAGACCUAUCCCAUAGCACUUCUUCUCACUUGUUUCUUGAAGAUGGCCAACCUAAUCAGGUUUUCAACAAAUGAUGAUUUCUCUCAAAAUGAGGAACACUUGGCUCGUGUUUUAGAUCAAGUUAUGCAAGAGCUUGAUGGGGGGAGGGCAUGUCCACUUUUGAGUUCAUUGAGAGUGGAACAAUCAAAUCCUUUGGUGCACUAUUUAUCCAAUGACAGAUAUCCUUUUGGAGGACAAUGUGGUUCGUGGCGUGAGUAAUGAUUUUCUUAUUGCACGGAAGAGGUUCCAGACAUUCUCUUAUAUUUCAUUGUCAAAAGCAGGCCUAAGUUGGAAGGAUAUGCUUUUGACAUUGUUAGUAAGAAAACUGUACAUAACAUUGUUUGGACUAUUACAUUUUGUAUUGGUUUGUUAUAUUAGAUGUUUAGAUUAUUAUAUUUUGUAUUCAAUUGUUGUUCGUGAUACUUAUAAAUCGGAAUGUUUAUUUUGCAAAAUAAUAUAAAAGUUGUCGAGCAUUGUA